GACGAACGCUGGCGGCGUGCUUAACACAUGCAAGUCGAGCGGAAAGGCCCUUUCGGGGGUACUCGAGCGGCGAACGGGUGAGUAACACGUGAGUAAUCUGCCCUUGGCUUUGGGAUAACCACCGGAAACGGUGGCUAAUACCGGAUAUGACGGGCUCCGGCAUCGGGGUUCGUGGAAAAGUUUUUUCGGCCAGGGAUGUGCUCGCGGCCUAUCAGCUUGUUGGUGGGGUAAUGGCCUACCAAGGCUUCGACGGGUAGCCGGCCUGAGAGGGUGACCGGCCACACUGGGACUGAGACACGGCCCAGACUCCUACGGGAGGCAGCAGUGGGGAAUAUUGGACAAUGGGCGGAAGCCUGAUCCAGCAACGCCGCGUUGAGGGGAUGACGGCCU
Molecule: ribosomal RNA, 390 nt
Filed under: uncultured bacterium
Lineage: Bacteria
Description: bacterial SSU rRNA
Rfam family: Bacterial small subunit ribosomal RNA
Source: RNAcentral